AUUGAACGCUGGCGGCAUGCUUUACACAUGCAAGUCGAACGGCAGCAUGACCUAGCUUGCUAGGUUGAUGGCGAGUGGCGAACGGGUGAGUAAUGCAUCGGAACGUAUCCAAUAAUGGGGGAUAACGCAUCGAAAGGUGUGCUAAUACCGCAUACGCCCUGAGGGGGAAAGUGGGGGAUCUUCGGACCUCACGUUAAUGGAGCGACCGAUGUCAGAUUAGCUAGUUGGUGGGGUAAAGGCUCACCAAGGCGACGAUCUGUAGCUGGUCUGAGAGGAUGAUCAGCCACAAUGGAACUGAGACACGGUCCAGACUCCUACGGGAGGCAGCAGUGGGGAAUUUUGGACAAUGGGCGCAAGCCUGAUCCAGCCAUGCCGCGUGAGUGAAGAAGGCCUUCGGGUUGUAAAGCUCUUUCGCAAGGGAAGAAAACUUAGCUCUUAACACGGGCUGGGGAUGACGGUACCUUGAUAAGAAGCACCGGCUAACUACGUGCCAGCAGCCGCAGUAA
RNAcentral lists this ribosomal RNA (506 nucleotides) under uncultured bacterium. Its description in RNAcentral is "partial 16S ribosomal RNA". It matches the Rfam family "Bacterial small subunit ribosomal RNA", at positions 30 to 523 of the family's 1533-position model. The record is from RNAcentral.